GCUGGGCAUGGUGGCGGGUGCCUGUAAUCCCAGCUACUCAGGAGGCUGAGGCAGGAGAAUUGCUUGAACCUGGGAGGCGGAGGUUGCAGUGAGCCGAGAUCGCGCCACUGCACUCCAGCCUAGGUGACAGAGCAAGACUCUGUCUCAA
Molecule: small RNA, 148 nt
Filed under: Pongo abelii (Sumatran orangutan)
Lineage: Eukaryota; Metazoa; Chordata; Mammalia; Primates; Hominidae
Description: Metazoan signal recognition particle RNA (ENSPPYG00000033869.1)
Rfam family: Metazoan signal recognition particle RNA
About the family: The signal recognition particle (SRP) is a universally conserved ribonucleoprotein.
Source: Rfam by way of RNAcentral